GGGGAUAUAACUUAACGGCAUAAGCACCUGCCUGGCAAGCACAAGGUCCUGAGUUUGAUUCUCAGUACCA
This 70-nucleotide transfer RNA is filed under the name Cavia porcellus (domestic guinea pig). It matches the Rfam family "tRNA". From Rfam's summary of the family: Transfer RNA (tRNA) molecules are approximately 80 nucleotides in length. The record is from Rfam by way of RNAcentral. Lineage: Eukaryota; Metazoa; Chordata; Mammalia; Rodentia; Caviidae.